Molecule: ribosomal RNA, 253 nt
Filed under: uncultured bacterium
Lineage: Bacteria
Description: partial 16S ribosomal RNA
Rfam family: Bacterial small subunit ribosomal RNA
Source: RNAcentral
AACGUAGGAGACAAACGUUAUCCGGAGUUACUGGGCGUAAAGGGCGUGUAGGUGGUUGCGUAAGUCUGGCGUGAAAUUUUUCGGCUUAACCGGGAAAGGUCGUCGGAUACUGCGUAGCUAGAGGACGGUAGAGGCGUGUGGAGUUCCGGGUGUAGUGGUGAAAUGCGUAGAGAUCCGGAGGAACACCAGUGGCGAAGGCGACACGCUGGGCCGUACCUGACACUGAUGCGCGACAGCAUGGGGAGCAAACAGG